UUAUUUCCUGUACAUUAUGCAUGUAUGACACUUGAAUUUACAAGCAAUACCACUUCAUUCAAAUUUUCAAAAUUUAGUUUUGAAGAUUCAUGCACAUACACAUAUAAGAUAACUUUUCCUUAUUCAACUUAAGUUAACCUAGCCUGGAAUCAUGACAUGGAAUGCCACUUCUGUCAUGACAUGGAAUGCCACUUCUGUCAAGUUCCUUCAUUCCAUUACUGUCACAUUUUUAUUCUUAACGCCUCCUGUAAUGAAUACAACAUUUCAAACUCCUCUCGUCAAAUUAUAUUUCUGUUAAAUAUAGAUCUAAUUUUGUUUUUAACAAAUAUUGUUUAUUUUACUUAUUUUCAAUAGUUUAGGAUGCUUCUUUUCAACUGCCUUGGAUGCACUUUCAGGAUUACCUAAAAAUU
RNAcentral lists this long non-coding RNA (410 nucleotides) under Amphimedon queenslandica. RNAcentral's name for it is "uncharacterized LOC109592251, transcript variant X2". Lineage: Eukaryota; Metazoa; Porifera; Demospongiae; Haplosclerida; Niphatidae. The record is from RNAcentral.